GGCUUAGAGUUUGAUCAUGGCUCAGGAUGAACGCUAGCUACAGGCUUAACACAUGCAAGUCGAGGGGCAGCAUGAACUUAGCUUGCUAAGUUUGAUGGCGACCGGCGCACGGGUGAGUAACACGUAUCCAACCUGCCGAUGACUCGGGGAUAGCCUUUCGAAAGAAAGAUUAAUACCCGAUGGCAUAGUUCUUCCGCAUGGUGGAACUAUUAAAGAAUUUCGGUCAUCGAUGGGGAUGCGUUCCAUUAGGUUGUUGGCGGGGUAACGGCCCACCAAGCCUUCGAUGGAUAGGGGUUCUGAGAGGAAGGUCCCCCACAUUGGAACUGAGACACGGUCCAAACUCCUACGGGAGGCAGCAGUGAGGAAUAUUGGUCAAUGGACGAGAGUCUGAACCAGCCAAGUAGCGUGAAGGAUGACUGCCCUAUGGGUUGUAAACUUCUUUUAUACGGGAAUAAAGUGAGGCACGUGUGCCUUUUUGUAUGUACCGUAUGAAUAAGGAUCGGCUAACUCCGUGCCAGCAGCCGCGGUAAUACGGAGGAUCCGAGCGUUAUCCGGAUUUAUUGGGUUUAAAGGGAGCGUAGGCGGACGCUUAAGUCAGUUGUGAAAGUUUGCGGCUCAACCGUAAAAUUGCAGUUGAUACUGGGUGUCUUGAGUACAGUAGAGGCAGGCGGAAUUCGUGGUGUAGCGGUGAAAUGCUUAGAUAUCACGAAGAACUCCGAUUGCGAAGGCAGCUUGCUGGACUGUAACUGACGCUGAUACUCGAAAGUGUGGGUAUCAAACAGGAUUAGAUACCCUGGUAGUCCACACAGUAAACGAUGAAUACUCGCUGUUUGCGAUAUACAGUAAGCGGCCAAGCGAAAGCGUUAAGUAU
RNAcentral lists this ribosomal RNA (871 nucleotides) under uncultured organism. Its description in RNAcentral is "bacterial SSU rRNA". It matches the Rfam family "Bacterial small subunit ribosomal RNA", at positions 1 to 867 of the family's 1533-position model. The record is from RNAcentral.